CCUACGGGUGGCAGCAGUGGGGAAUAUUGGACAAUGGGGGGAACCCUGAUCCAGCCAUGCCGCGUGUGUGAAGAAGGCCCUCGGGUUGUAAAGCACUUUCAGUGAGGAAGAACGCCUGGUGGUUAAUACCCAUCAGGAAAGACAUCACUCACAGAAGAAGCACCGGCUAACUCCGUGCCAGCAGCCGCGGUAAUACGGAGGGUGCGAGCGUUAAUCGGAAUUACUGGGCGUAGAGCGCGCGUAGGUGGCUUGAUAAGCCGGUUGUGAAAGCCCCGGGCUCAACCUGGGAACGGCAUCCGGAACUGUCAAGCUAGAGUGCAGGAGAGGAAGGUAGAAUUCCCGGUGUAGCGGUGAAAUGCGUAGAGAUCGGGAGGAAUACCAGUGGCGAAGGCGGCCUUCUGGACUGACACUGACACUGAGGUGCGAAAGCGUGGGUAGCAAACAGGAUUAGAUACCCUAGUAGUC
RNAcentral lists this ribosomal RNA (465 nucleotides) under Vreelandella stevensii. RNAcentral's name for it is "partial 16S ribosomal RNA". It matches the Rfam family "Bacterial small subunit ribosomal RNA", at positions 338 to 795 of the family's 1533-position model. Lineage: Bacteria; Pseudomonadati; Pseudomonadota; Gammaproteobacteria; Oceanospirillales; Halomonadaceae. The record is from RNAcentral.